CCUACGGGCGGCAGCAGUGGGGAAUAUUGGACAAUGGGCGAAAGCCUGAUCCAGCCAUGCCGCGUGUGUGAAGAAGGCCUUCGGGUUGUAAAGCACUUUCAGUGGGGAAGAAAGCCUUGGGGCUAAUACCCUCGAGGAAGGACAUCACCCACAGAAGAAGCACCGGCUAACUCCGUGCCAGCAGCCGCGGUAAUACGGAGGGUGCGAGCGUUAAUCGGAAUUACUGGGCGUAAAGCGCGCGUAGGCGGUCUGAUAAGCCGGUUGUGAAAGCCCCGGGCUCAACCUGGGAACGGCAUCCGGAACUGUCAGGCUAGAGUGCAGGAGAGGAAGGUAGAAUUCCCGGAGUAGCGGUGAAAUGCGUAGAGAUCGGGAGGAAUACCAGUGGCGAAGGCGGCCUUCUGGACUGACACUGACGCUGAGGUGCGAAAGCGUGGGUAGCAAACAGGAUUAGAUACCCCGGUAGUC
This 465-nucleotide ribosomal RNA is filed under the name Vreelandella stevensii. RNAcentral describes it as "partial 16S ribosomal RNA". It matches the Rfam family "Bacterial small subunit ribosomal RNA", at positions 338 to 795 of the family's 1533-position model. Lineage: Bacteria; Pseudomonadati; Pseudomonadota; Gammaproteobacteria; Oceanospirillales; Halomonadaceae. The record is from RNAcentral.